CUCCCAGGGUGGCCUCAUUACUCAGCAGAGAGAUAUUCUCUAAAGAGGAUGGAAGGCAAGGUAAGGCUUGACAACUCAAGCAAUAGAGUGAAUAUUUGUGUUCCCCAUAUUCAGAUGUUGAAAUCCUACUUUGCACCCAAGGUGAUGAUGUGAGAGGUUGGGAGGUAAUUAGGUUUUGAGAGUGGAACCAUUUUUUUUUCUUUUUGAUCAGGGACUGGGCAUUAUCUCUGAGCUUUUUCAGUCAAGGCUAGUGCUCUACCACCUUGAACCCACAGUAUCACUUCUAGUUUUCUUGUGGUUA
Long non-coding RNA from Perognathus longimembris pacificus (Pacific pocket mouse), 301 nucleotides. RefSeq lists it as uncharacterized. The transcript has 4 exons. NCBI's taxonomy places the organism in Eukaryota, Metazoa, Chordata, Mammalia, Rodentia, Heteromyidae. The record is from RefSeq and is a predicted model, not a curated record.